UUGAUCCUGGCUCAGAAUCAACGCUGGCGGCGCGCUUAACACAUGCAAGUCGAACGAGAAAAGGGAGCGAUCCUCUGAGUAAAGUGGCGUACGGGUGAGUAACACGUGGGUAAUCUGCCUCUGGGUGGGGAAUAACUCUGGGAAACCGGUGCUAAUACCGCAUAAGACCGAAAGGUGAAAGGUGAAAAUCGCCGAGAGAUGAGCCCGCGGCUGAUUAGCUUGAUGGUGGGGUAACGGCCUACCAUGGCAUAGAUCAGUAGCCGGCCUGAGAGGGCACACGGCCACACUGGCACUGAAACUCGGGCCAGACUCCUACGGGAGGCAGCAGUGGGGAAUCUUGCACAAUGGGUGAAACCCUGAUGCAGCGACGCCGCGUGAGCAAUGAAGCCCUUCGGGGUGUAAAGCUCUUUCGGCAGGGACGAUAAUGACGGUACCUGAAGAAGAAGCUGUGGCUAACUACGUGCCAGCAGCCGCGGUAAUU
RNAcentral lists this ribosomal RNA (481 nucleotides) under uncultured Acidobacteriota bacterium. RNAcentral describes it as "bacterial SSU rRNA". It matches the Rfam family "Bacterial small subunit ribosomal RNA", at positions 13 to 525 of the family's 1533-position model. The record is from RNAcentral. Lineage: Bacteria; Pseudomonadati; Acidobacteriota.